AGUGAAUAGAUACCCUGGUAGUCCCAGCUGUAAACGAUGCGCGUUAGGUGUAUCGGUGACCACGAGUCACCGAGGUGCCGAAGGGAAACCGUGAAACGUGCCGCCUGGGAAGUACGGUCGCAAGGCUGAAACUUAAAGGAAUUGGCGGGGGAGCACCACAACAGGUGGAGCCUGCGGUUUAAUCGGACUCAACGCCGGGAAGCUCACCGGAUAAGACAGCUGAAUGAUAGCCGGGUUGAAGACUCUGCUUGACUAGCUGAGAGGAGGUGCAUGGCCGUCGUCAGUUCGUACUGUGAAGCAUCCUGUUAAGUCAGGCAACGAGCGAGACCCACGCCAACAGUUGCCAGCAUGUCCUCCGGGAUGGUGGGGACACUGUUGGGACCGCCUCUGCUAAAGAGGAGGAAGGAAUGGGCAACGGUAGGUCAGCAUGCCCCGAAUUAUCCGGGCUACACGCGGGCUACAAUGGUCAGGACAAUGGGUAUCAACACCGAAAGGUGAAGGCAAUCUCCUAAACCU
Molecule: ribosomal RNA, 516 nt
Filed under: uncultured bacterium
Lineage: Bacteria
Description: bacterial SSU rRNA
Rfam family: Archaeal small subunit ribosomal RNA
Source: RNAcentral